Long non-coding RNA from Ostrinia nubilalis (European corn borer), 1270 nucleotides. RefSeq lists it as uncharacterized. The transcript has 4 exons. The record is from RefSeq and is a predicted model, not a curated record. Lineage: Eukaryota; Metazoa; Arthropoda; Insecta; Lepidoptera; Crambidae.
UUCGCAGUCGUCGGCAAAAUGGCGUAAAAUACAAUUACAGACACGUGAUAUUACCAUUUAUUUGUUUAUGUAUAACAACAGUGGACUAAUUAACAUGUGUGUGAAUUAUGAAAUGCUAUCAAAUUAUUUUAAUUAUAAUAACCCUUUGCAUACCACUGCCUUCAAAUCAACAUUUUAUUUUCCCUGUCAGCAUGUGUCUCCUGGCAGACCUAUGCAACCACACCUGGAUCCCGGAGUGCGGGCUGGAGCCGACUGACGACCACCUGCGCCUCUUCAUCGACGAGUGCGACAUGUUUGAGUUCAACUGCGAUAAGGAGAAAAUGUACGAAAUUCAAAAUUAUUCCGAAUGCUUCAAACCGCAGAUGUGUCCCACUGUCGCACCAUGUCCCUCUCAUCCCACUUGCCCAAACCACCGCUUCCAUAGAAUGGGACAGCGUUUUAUGGUGGUAACUAGAAACGGUAGAAGACAUAUUCCACACACUCAUAGGGCCACAUUAAAGAUGAGUCUACCCUACCGGAUGUUACAUGGAAAGAGGCGAUAUACCCCUAUCCCAAAAAUCCGCAGAGAAAAAAUGAAAAAGGAGGCUAAAAGAAAAAACGCCAAAAAACCUAAGAUAUCAAGUAAAAUUCAAAGCAAAAAAGUCCAAAACAUUUUGCUGGAAACAAUAAUUUUGAGAAAGGAGUCGGUCCUAAUGAAUGGCACGAUGUUCAUGAAGAUCUUCAAGGCGUUUGUUACGAAGACCAUGAGAUCAAAUACAGUGAAACCAAAGACAACAAAGUCUAUGAAAACGGGAUGUUCAAAUUUCAAAACAGGAUGCAAGAAAGAUUCAGAUUUCUUAGAAUAGUAAUUUUUCUAAAGCACAAAUAAAAAGUAAAAGGGAAAACUGCGCUUACAUCGUAUAAAUUGUUUCCCGAGUAUAUAUUAAUGUCGAUUCUAUCACUUGUUUCAGUGUACGAAAUUCAAAAUUAUUCCGAAUGCUUCAACAAACCGCAGAUGUGUCCCACUGCUGCGCCGUGUCCGUCCCAUCCCACUUGCCCCAACCACCGCUUCCAUAGAAUGGGACAACGAUUCAUGAUCGUUACUAGAAACGGUAGAAGACAUAUUCCACAUACUCAUAGGACCACAUUAAAGAUGAGUCUACCCUACCAUAUAUUACAUGGAAAGAGGCGAUAUACCCCUAUCCCAAAAAUCCGCAGGGAAAAAAUGAAAAAGGAGGCUAGAAGAAAAAACGCGCAAAAAUCUAAGAUAACAAGUAAAAUUCAAAGCAAA